This 329-nucleotide ribosomal RNA is filed under the name uncultured eukaryote. RNAcentral's name for it is "partial 18S ribosomal RNA". It matches the Rfam family "Eukaryotic small subunit ribosomal RNA", at positions 1470 to 1796 of the family's 1831-position model. The record is from RNAcentral.
CCCUUAGAUGUUCUGGGCCGCACGCGCGCUACACUGACGAUGGCAACGAGUUUUUCCUUCGCCGAAAGGUGUGGGUAAUCUUUUGAAACAUCGUCGUGCUGGGGAUAGAUCAUUGCAAUUUUUGAUCUUGAACGAGGAAUUCCUAGUAAGCGCGAAUCAUCAGCUCGCGUUGAUUACGUCCCUGCCCUUUGUACACACCGCCCGUCGCUACUACCGAUUGAAUGGUUUAGUGAGGACUCCUGAUUGGCGCCGCCGCCCCGGCAACGGAGCAGCGGACUGCCGAAAAGUUGUUCAAACUUGAUCAUUUAGAGGAAGUAAAAGUCGUAACA